GACGAAGGGUGCAAGCGUUCAUCGGAAGUACUGGGCGUAAAGCGCGCGUAGGUGGUUUGUUAAGUUGGAUGUGAAAGCCCCGGGCUCAACCUGGGAACUGCAUCCAAAACUGGCAAGCUAGAGUAUGGCAGAGGGUGGUGGAAUUUCCUGUGUAGCGGUGAAAUGCGUAGAUAUAGGAAGGAACACCAGUGGCGAAGGCGACCAACUUGGCUAAUACUGACACUGAGGUGCGACAGCGUGGGGAGCCAACAUGAAUAGAUACCCCUGUAGUC
RNAcentral lists this ribosomal RNA (272 nucleotides) under uncultured bacterium. RNAcentral's name for it is "partial 16S ribosomal RNA". It matches the Rfam family "Bacterial small subunit ribosomal RNA", at positions 524 to 795 of the family's 1533-position model. The record is from RNAcentral.